Molecule: long non-coding RNA, 638 nt
Organism: Aethalodelphis obliquidens (Pacific white-sided dolphin)
Lineage: Eukaryota; Metazoa; Chordata; Mammalia; Artiodactyla; Delphinidae
Exons: 3
Source: RefSeq, a predicted model, not a curated record
ACACUUCAGGCCCAUCUAUAACCCUGUUGUUGGUUUCUGUGACACCCUGUUGCUUGCAAACAAGGGUGUUAACUUCAGAGAAACUGCCAUCUGCCAUCACCUGGAUGAGCAAUGGAGAAAGCUAGUGUGUCCGGGGCAAGAGGGAGGCAUCCAUGCACCACUGGAUGCUGCCUGAAGGCCUUAAGGUUCCUGGUCAGCUACUGCUGGACCAACCAAAUGUGGCCUGAGAGGCGGGUGCUAGGAGAUGGGUCUCUCCAGAAACUGCAUUGUGACUGGAGAGGGCAGGGCAGUUCCAGAAGAGGAGGAAGUGCUGGACAGCAAAUUGUACAAGAGCUCACAGCAUCCCCAGUAGGAGGUCAGCCCAGACUGAGACUGGAACUUCUUAAAUCUCUUCCAUGGAAAGGACCGGCAUGAGUUUGGAUUAGGUGCUGUCCCAAGCCUGAGAAGAAAAACAAGGAAAGACCUUGAGAUGCUCCCAGUGAAGGGCUUCUUAUUUUUAUCCAUCAGCAUGUGAUUGGAGACGGAAGCAUGAUGAUUUAAAACCUAUCCCUUGGGACUUCCCUGGUGGCGCAGUGGUUAAGAAUCUGCCUGCCAAUGCAGGGGACACGGGUUUGAGCCCUGGUCCAGGAAGAUCUCAC